UGGGCACGGAGCAGGCGCCAUGGU
Molecule: non-coding RNA, 24 nt
Filed under: Cricetulus griseus (Chinese hamster)
Lineage: Eukaryota; Metazoa; Chordata; Mammalia; Rodentia; Cricetidae
Source: RNAcentral